GCUGAUUACUGCCGUUCGGGGCAAGAACGAGACCUUCAUCGAGAGGCUCUCGAUUAGGGCGCGCGGCGGUGGUGGGGGCGGCGGAGGCGUCGGAGGAGGACGGGCGGCCGCCAUCGGGGGCUGUAAUAGACGAGAUGGCCAAUUCGAGGUCCCAAUUGUGAGCGGAGAGAAUCUCGGUGCACAAAUCGGCGUCUUCUAAACCCGUGAUUGCUUGAAAAUACGCCAAUUUGUCAGCCACGUCUCCCAUUUCGCGAGCAGCAGUGUCUGUCAGUGCGGUUAUGCCAAGAGUGGGAGGAAGUGGGGUGAUUGGGGGAGGUGGGAGCUGAAAAAGGGGAAUUUGAGAUUUGGGAUCGAAGAAUUUGGAAGUUCGAAGUGUUGGAGGAGGAGAUGGGGAGAAGGGGUUUUGAUUAUGGGCGACGGAGAGAGUGAGGGAUGGCGAAAUGACGGUAAUGUCGGCGGCGAGGGACGAAAUUACGAAACUGCCAUUGCCAUGUUGGAGACUAGAGAGAGGGGAGGUGGUUAUUAAAUAAAUAAAAUUAUUAUACUAGUAAAUAAAUAAAUAAUUCAUACUACACUAUGUAUGAUUGCAAUUUGCAGUUUGCAAAUUGCUUCUCUUGGGAAAAUGAGCAUUUAACAUUAUGGGCAGGCUCUAGUCCCAAAACGAUAGUAAAACGGCAAAUUUACUUUUCAUUAUGUUAGGUUUAAUAAGUGAAAAGUAAAAUAAUAAAUAAAGAAAAAAAAUUGCUCCCUCCGUCCGCCAAAAGUAUUCCACAAUUACUAUAUUUGGCGUCCGUAAAAAGUAUUCCACUUUCCUUUUUAAGCCAUGGUCCCACCAUCCACCUUUAUAUUUUAUCCUUACAAACACUCUUUAUUUACAAAAAACUCACCCCAAAUUCAAUCUCAACCACACAUCUCCUAAAGUGGUGGGACCCUUUCUCCACUACAUCAACAUCAUCACACAUUUUAUUAAACUUCGUGCCCGGCCAAAGUGGAAUACUUUUGACGAACAGAGGGAGUACAAUAUAAAUAAAAGUAAUAAAUUUCGUGGAAGGGUGUAAAAAAAAUACAAUUCAUAUUUGGAGAUAGUAUUUUUAACUCUCUCAUUUCCUAGGCUGCAAGCCUGCUAGGAAUAAAACUUGAUAUAUUAAAUAAAUUUAGAUAUGUAAUUAUAUAAAAUAAAAUUUUUUUCAAGCUUGAAAUCAUAAAAAUCUAAUUAAUUUUAUUAUUCUAUUAAAUAAAUUUUGAUUUUUUUUAAUGGCAAAUUCAUAAUAUUUUAUUCGAAAUUCAUAACAACACAAUUGUUUAAUACUCCCUCCGUCCCGGCCAAGACGCUACAUUUGUUUUUCGGCACGGGNACAGCAUUUAAAACAAAAGAACGAAAUUAUAGGAAAAAGCAUACUUGAUCGGCCUCAAGUGCUGCCUGAUAAGCAGCUCCUGUUCCUCUCUGAGACGGAUAUUGGUUCUUCUUUCUUCAGCUUCUACCCUUGCUGAGACAAGAACAGGAGCACUUUCUUCAAGCACUCUCUGCAAUAUUGUUAACAAUUCUCAGGAGAUUUUGGCCCCUCAACCUGCACAAGUUAAUUACAGUACAAGUGAAUAAAAUAUUACAUGAGACCCAGCUUAUGCAAUGACCAGAGGAGAAACAAAUAUGUGAGCAUUGGGGUAGUUCACAACCAGCACAGUGAUAACCAACUAACCAAGUUUGAAGAUCAAUAAAACAAAAGAACGAUAUGAAGUGUUUGGUAUACUAUUCCCGUGAUUUAGACUAUUAUCCUCCAACAACAUAACCUUACAUGGAUAUUCAAGCAACCAAAAAAAUAGCUUCAGAACAAACAUCCCACUAUAUAUAAUCAAGUUUCACUUAGAGAAAUCUCCAGGGAUAGCAGAUAUGGAUAUUUAAAUUAUAUUGUGUAGAAAGGAUGAGAAAAGGUUGUGGGCCUUGUGGCAACAAAGCAUUUCACUUCAUAAAAGGCACUCAAAAAUAGCACACAUGCUGCCCUGCCCCAUUUGUAAGAGUGAUCAAAAGGGCUUUUUCUCAUCUGUGAUUUUUCCUACAAUCUAAAUAAGAGUAAAUGAUUGCAAUGCUACCAGUUGAAACACUCACACACGAGAUAAUUUCAGUAAGGACGUUUGGUUGAUGUUUUGGGAGUCUUUUUGUAAAAACAGUUAUGGGAAAUGUUUAGGGCAGUAAAAAAUUAGUUGCGAUUUGCCAACUGACAAAAGCCCACCAAGAAAAAGAAUAGGGAAAUAUUAAAUUAGUAGCAGAGUUGCCACCACAGUAAACCCCAUCCACAACCACACUUAGAAGAGCUCCUGUUUCCAAAUGAACUAAAAGCAAUAAAAGAACAAUGUCUUCUCACAUGCCAGAGGUCAAAGCUGAAAUACUCCCCUCUUAACCAUUCCCCUUGGCCAACCUCUUUUUUCCCUUCAAUUGGAUGCCUCACAAGAAGCAUCUCUGAUGUGUUGCCUCUAUUCCAUUUAAGGAUGUAGUGUAAUAUUGAUCAUGUACGUGAGACGAUAACACAGUUUAAAUCUAAGCCUUCCAAAGAUAUUAGCAUAUUUUCCAUCUCAACAUCAUGAAGGGAAAAAAAUAACCUCAACAAUAGAGCAUAUCACAAAUACAAUACAAAGUUUCAAGACAGAUAAGUCGAAAAUAUCAAUAAUACAAUAGUGAUAUACUUGCACAACCCAAGGGAACACAUCUGAAUAACAAUUAGACGAAUAACUGGACCAGCUUCGGGUAACACAUAAUACAAAAAGAAUUUUAGAGGAUAGCAACUCUUGUAAAAAAAAUGUAGUCUUAGUACCAAAAUCAAAGAUGAUUAAAUACCCCUAGUCACAUUCCUUUGCCUGCUAUUCAGUUACAUGUUGCAUUUCAAUGAAUACCAAACACAAACGUCCAAUAAACUGUUAAUAUAUUUUACCCAAUCAAAUCCAGGAAAUGUCUGUUUUCUCAUUCAAGCACCCAGAAAAACAGAGAUCACUUCAGACAUAUUUCAAUACUAAUCGACAAUCAUGAAAAUGAUCAAAUUUCAAGUAGAGACAAUGAACAAGAGAAGAAUAAUACCGGUUGCAGCAACGCAAUCCUCUGGUUCGUAGCGGCCAUAACAACAGCACAGAAAGGGUACCUCGACGCCUUUAAACUAUUACUCAUCUUGAACCCUUCACUAGCCUUCACACUCCCACCCCACGACACAAAAUUCUCAUUCAAAAACGCCGCCAACAUCUCAUUGCAAAGAGUGCCUUCACAGAACGCCGGCGUAUCGGGAUGCUCCGGCGAGUGCAAGUAAACAAAAAGCAGCUUAUAUUCGUGUCGAGACCUCUGCAGCGCGUCCAUGAAGCCCUCAGUUACAAAAUGCGGCCUCACCCUCCCAUAAUCCCGCUCAAAGCUAGCUACAAAAUCCAUGGCCUCGGAAACCGACGGCGACACCGUCACCAGCGGCGUCGUUCCAGCCCGCGACGUACCAGCAAGUCCAACCAUCCCAAGGGAGUAAGACAAAACGCCGCCGGCAGCCCACAUACCGAGCCCAAUUGCACCAGAAAUUAACCCUAGGCUGCCGGUGAUUAUGGAAAACGGGAGCGUGACUAAUUUCCACGCUAAUCCAGGGGGCUGAUUACUGCCGUUCGGGGCAAGAACGAGACCAUCAUCGAGAGGCUCUCGAUUAGGGCGCGCGGCGGUGGUGGGGGCGGCGGAGGCGUCGGAGGAGGACGGGCGGCCGCCAUCGGGGGCUGUAAUAGACGAGAUGGCCAAUUCGAGGUCCCAAUUGUGAGCGGAGAGAAUCUCGGUGCACAAAUCGGCGUCUUCUAAACCCGUGAUUGCUUGAAAAUACGCCAAUUUGUCAGCCACGUCUCCCAUUUCUGCGAUGCAGCAGUGUCUGUCAGUGCGGUUUAUGCCAAGAGUGGGAGGAAGUGGGGUGAUUGGGGGAGGUGGGAGCUCGAAAAAGGGGAAUUUGAGAUUUGGGAUCGAAGAAUUUGGAAGUUUGAAGUGUUGAAGGAGGAGAUGGGGAGAAGGGGUUUUGAUUAUGGGCGACGGAGAGAGUGAGGGAUGGCUAAAUGACGGUAAUGUCGGCGGCGAGGGAAGAAAUUACGAAACUGCCAUUGCC
This 4103-nucleotide long non-coding RNA is filed under the name Salvia miltiorrhiza (redroot sage). Its description in RNAcentral is "long non-coding RNA (SMIL_LNC010826)". Lineage: Eukaryota; Viridiplantae; Streptophyta; Magnoliopsida; Lamiales; Lamiaceae. The record is from RNAcentral.